Molecule: ribosomal RNA, 157 nt
Filed under: Massilia aurea
Lineage: Bacteria; Pseudomonadati; Pseudomonadota; Betaproteobacteria; Burkholderiales; Oxalobacteraceae
Also listed under: 1 other name
Description: partial 23S ribosomal RNA
Rfam family: Bacterial large subunit ribosomal RNA
Source: RNAcentral
GUUAUAGGGACAAGUGAAUAAGUGCACAUGGUGGAUGCCUUGGCGAUUACAGGCGAUGAAGGACGUAGUAGCUUGCGAUAAGCUGCGGGGAGCUAGCAAACGAGCUUUGAUCCGCAGAUUUCCGAAUGGGGAAACCCGGCCUUUUAGGUCAUUGCAU